ACCAUGCGAGGUCGAACGGAUAGCACAGAAGAGCUUGCUCUUUGGGUGACGAGCUGGCGGACGGGCUGAAUAAUGUCUGGGGAUCUGCCCGGCAGAGGGGGAUAACUACUGGAAACGGUAGCUAAUACCGCAUAACCUCGCAAGAGCAAAGAGGGGGACCUUCGGGCCUCUCGCUGUCGGAUGAACCCAGAUGGGAUUAGCUAGUAGGUGAGGUAACGGCUCACCCAGGCGACGAUCCCUAGCUGGUCUGAGAGGAUGACCAGCCACACUGGAACUGAGACACGGUCCAGACUCCUACGGGAGGCAGCAGUGGGGAAUAUUGCACAAUGGGCGCAAGCCUGAUGCAGCCAUGCCGCGUGUAUGAAGAAGGCCUUCGGGUUGUAAAGUACUUUCAGCGGGGAGGAAGGGUUGUGGGCGAAUACCCUGCGACAUUGACGUUACCCGCAGAAGAAGCACCGGCUAACUCCGUGCCAGCAGCCGCGGUAAUACGGAGGGUGCGAGCGUUAAUCGGAAUUACUGGGCGUAAAGCGCACGCAGGCGGUCUGUCAAGUCAGAUGUGAAAUCCCCGGGCUUAACCUGGGAACUGCAUUUGAAACUGGCAGGCUGGAGUCUUGUAGAGGGGGGUAGAAUUCCAGGUGUAGCGGUGAAAUGCGUAGAGAUCUGGAGGAAUACCGGUGGCGAAGGCGGCCCCCUGGACAAAGACUGACGCUCAGGUGCGAAAGCGUGGGGAGCAAACAGGAUUAGAUACCCUGGUAGUCCACGCUGUAAACGAUGUCGACUUGGAGGUUGUGCCCUUGAG
Molecule: ribosomal RNA, 799 nt
Filed under: uncultured bacterium
Lineage: Bacteria
Description: bacterial SSU rRNA
Rfam family: Bacterial small subunit ribosomal RNA
Source: RNAcentral